UCUUACCACUUCCGCCCUCACCGGCGGCGACCUCAGCCUGGCGGAAAGCUCCUUGCCUGGAACGCAGAGGGCCUUCGCUGCUGCGGCCCCUGGGGACUCCUUCGCGACGGCUUCCCGGGGAGGGGGCUGAGGCCUGGCAGCGAGGACCCUGACACCCCUUCGGGAGAGGAGUGGCUGCUAGGCCGCUCGCUUGCUCCUGGAAAGAUUUGGGGUUUGAGAGCUCUUGGCCAGGAGGCUCGCGCUGGCCGAGGCCCGAGAGCUGUCCCCGCGGGACGGGACUAGCGAGGGCCGGGGAGAUGGAGCGCAGGCGGCGUCUGGGUUCGAAGCACUUUCCGGCUGAACCACCUGCUGCUGAGGCUGAGCCCUGAGAGGCGGUUCGUGGCCCCCAAACCGGGGAAGGGGCGAAGCUUUGGGCAUCUGUCCCAUGCAAGGGUCCCAACAUCUGAAUCUCACCUCACUCGUCUCCCACCUGUCACGAAUGGCCAGCGCCAAAGUGAUAAAUAUGUAAUAGGAAUGUCUUCCCGAGGCUGUGCUGGAGACUUCCCUGGCCGCACAGUGACCGUUCAGAGCCCACGAUAAGCAAGCCGAAACCCGGUUUGGCGCAGAGGCGCGCAAGGAGAGAGGUCUGUCCUUUGACUCUGUGAGUUGGGCAGCCUAACAUGGUUAUUGUUAAUUGACGGUAAAGUAUCUCGAGCUGUUUUAAAGGGGAUCUGCCGUCUAGGGAGUUCCCCUUGAAAAUCGGACCUUUGAGCAGUGACUUCUGUUUUGCCACCUGGGAGCAACGUGUAAGGAAGUGGACUUAAGCUUCUCUCUCCCCAGGGGAAGAAGCACAGUGGAAAAAUCACAAGUGACUUCUGGCCUGAAAAGCCCUUAAUUUACCUGCUUCUACAAUUACUGCCCUUUCUGACCCAGUUCUUUCCCUGCAGAUAUAGGUGAGGUUCAAAGAAGCAGAUGGUGGAGUUUUGUUAGACAAUCAGUGAAUUUUCUAAUUAGAAAAAGAACUGAGGUCGGGCGCGGUGGGCUCACGCCUGUAAUACCAGCACUUUGGGAGGCCAAGGCGGGCAGAUCACCCGAGGUCGGGAGUUCGAGACCAGCCUAACAUGGCGAAACCCUGUCUCUACUAAAAAUACAAAAAAAUUAGCUGGGCCUGGU
RNAcentral lists this long non-coding RNA (1152 nucleotides) under Homo sapiens (human). RNAcentral's name for it is "HSALNT0208420". The record is from RNAcentral. Lineage: Eukaryota; Metazoa; Chordata; Mammalia; Primates; Hominidae.